GAUGAACGCUGGCGGCGUGCCUAAUACAUGCAAGUCGAGCGAACAGACGAGGAGCUUGCUCCUCUGACGUUAGCGGCGGACGGGUGAGUAACACGUGGAUAACCUACCUAUAAGACUGGGAUAACUUCGGGAAACCGGAGCUAAUACCGGAUAAUAUAUUGAACCGCAUGGUUCAAUAGUGAAAGACGGUUUUGCUGUCACUUAUAGAUGGAUCCGCGCCGCAUUAGCUAGUUGGUAAGGUAACGGCUUACCAAGGCAACGAUGCGUAGCCGACCUGAGAGGCGGAUCGGCCACCCUGGAGCUGAAACACGGUCCAGACUACUAAGGGAGGCAGCAGUAGGGAAUCUUCCGCAAUGGGCGAAAGCCUGACGGAGCAACGCGGAGUGAGUGAUGAAGGUCUUCGGAUCGUAAAACUCUGUUAUUAGGGAAGAACAAAUGUGUAAGUAACUAUGCACGUCUUGACGGUAACUAAUCAGAAAGCCACGGCUAACUACGUG
Molecule: ribosomal RNA, 497 nt
Filed under: uncultured bacterium
Lineage: Bacteria
Description: partial 16S ribosomal RNA
Rfam family: Bacterial small subunit ribosomal RNA
Source: RNAcentral